This 252-nucleotide ribosomal RNA is filed under the name uncultured Bacteroidales bacterium. Its description in RNAcentral is "partial 16S ribosomal RNA". It matches the Rfam family "Bacterial small subunit ribosomal RNA", at positions 524 to 776 of the family's 1533-position model. Lineage: Bacteria; Pseudomonadati; Bacteroidota; Bacteroidia; Bacteroidales. The record is from RNAcentral.
UACGGAGGAUGCGAGCGUUAUCCGGAUUUAUUGGGUUUAAAGGGUGCGUAGGCGGUCCGGAAAGUCAGCGGUAAAAGCCCGGGGCUCAACCCCGGCGAGCCGUUGAAACUGUCGGACUAGAGACGGCGAGAAGUACGCGGAAUGCGCGGUGUAGCGGUGAAAUGCAUAGAUAUCAGGAGGAACACCGGCGGCGAAGGCGGCUUACUGGACUGUAACUGACGUUGAGGCUCGAAGGCGCGGGGAGCAAACAGG